GACAGAGGUGCCGAGCGUUAGGCGGAAUCACUGGGCUUAAAGCGUGUGUAGGCGGGCGGGCAAGUACCUUGUGAAAUCCCACGGCUCAACCGUGGAACGGCUGGGUAUACUGCCUGUCUUGAGCCAACUAGGGGCGAGCGGAACAGACGGUGGAACGGUGAAAUGCGUAGAUAUCGGAAGGAACACCUGUGGCGAAAGCGGCUCACUGGACCAUUACUGACGCUGAUGCACGAAAGCUAGGGGAGCAAACAGG
This 253-nucleotide ribosomal RNA is filed under the name uncultured bacterium. RNAcentral's name for it is "partial 16S ribosomal RNA". It matches the Rfam family "Bacterial small subunit ribosomal RNA", at positions 524 to 776 of the family's 1533-position model. The record is from RNAcentral.